UCAGAUGCUCCCUGCAGGCAGCCGUGUGGGUGGGCGGAAGGACAAAGGCCGGGUGCCUGGUCAGGGCUGCCUUCAGCCUUCCUGCUUUUGUGUGUACCACCUGAAAAGCAACUCCCUUUGGGAGACACGAAUGGGAUUCAGCUCCGGCAGCAUUGACUCCUCCAGGAAGCCUUCCUGAUUGCCUCCCCUCCCGCUGGGGGCUCUGACCCUCCAUUCCCAGGACUGCAGGUGCUGGGCCGACCUUGCAGCGGCGACCAACGCUCCACCCUAGAGCCGCGUGGCUGGAGGAAUGAGAUGCCCUAGAGGCUUGAGCCCCAGGUCACCGUGCCUUUGGGUGACCUUGCUCCGGUCACGUGCUUCCUUGAGGAUCAGUUUCCUCACCUGUGUAGCAGGAUAGUUUCUUGAGUCAUGAAUAUCUGUGCCUGUCUGCCCUGUAACCCUCCCCUCUCACCACUUCCCAAGCAGCUCCCCAAGCUGCAAGCAAAAAGCAGCCUGAAGUCAUCUUUGAGUUGAGAGUGAGUAUCCUAGCCUGGGAAGGCCUCCUGCCAGCCCGGAGAUCACAGAAUGUCCCGCAGGUCCACUCCCUUGGAAGCGUCUCCGGAGGCGGUCCAGCCCCGAGCUCCCCCAGCCUCAGCAAGACUCAGUACCGUCUUGGGGUGCACAGGAGCAUGCAGCCUCCAACAGCGGGUCGGGGGAGGCAGGACCCCUAUUAUCUCCAGGGUCGCCCUAAGAUGCCUGGAUUUUGGUGAGGGGUAGAGAGUGGGGGGAAGACGGACCCAGCAACUGGGAUGAAUGCACUGCCACCCACCCAUGUGACAUUGGCCUAAAUUUAAACAGAUCUGAGGAAGACACCAAGAUGCCGUUUCUGGUGGCCCGAGUUUGCAGGCAGGGCUCCUAACCCUUCUCUUUGUGAACCAGGAUAAUAAUAUCCUCCAUUGAGAAUGGAAGUGAGCUUUGUAAACAGUCAAGCAUCAAGCGAACAAGAGAGGCAUGCUCCGGCCUCCUCCAUCCCAGGGCCCAUGGGAAGGGGGUGCGCAGAGCGGGCCCGGCCCACGAUGUUCCCCUCCAGAUGGCAACAGACAACCCAUGAGGCGAUGUAGGAACAGCACAGGGCGGAACAGCCCGUCCGGGACACCCACCUCCCCACCCCCGGCUCACACUGGCCAGAGACCCAGACUGAGAAAUGACUCAGACACGAAAACACCCUCGGCUCAGAGGAAACUCAGCACGGCCAGAGAUUGCAGGUGGCAGCACUCACAGGGAUGGGACUUCCUCCUGUACCCCACCCCUCUACCCAGCCACCACCAGUGGCCUGAAAUGGUGCCACGGACCCCCUCCCAUUUUGAGCACUUGCUGUAUACCAAAUUCUUACAGAUAUGUGUGGACUCUUAAGUGGUCAUGAAGAUUCUUGCUGUCAUAGGAGAAAACCAGGGAUUCUAGGGGUUAACUCCUGUUGAUGUCACCAUCCUUCGCUAUUAUUAGGUAAUCUGGCCAAGCUUACACACUAAUCAAUAUUAGUCCCCGUCACAACCACAACAAUGACUGCUGACCCUUCCGACCCAACUCCCAGCCUUGGGGGUCACAGAAGCACCAUGCUCCAGAAUCCCAGCCUCGCUCCCCCAACGUCCAACGCACCCCCUCGAAGCACGGCCUGUCCCUCUUUUGGGCUGACUUUGCGUGAUGAAGUGACACCCAGCAAAUGACCCAGGCCCACGGCAUUCCAGCUAUUUUCGGCUGCAGUCCCUUUACCUCCAGUAAAGUCUGACACCUGCACCAGACCCCUUCCUUUCCUGGCCGGCCGUCUGAGGGGUCCCUGGUGGCCUCUGGGAAGACAGGAGCUGCAGAGGUCCCUUUCAUUUUCCAGCUGAGGUCCUGGCUCUGGGCCGAUGCUGCCGAGCACCCCACGGUAGGUGGCCGCCCUCUCUGGCUCGAUCACCAGCAUGAAGGCAGAGCCUCUCCUUUGGGACUGCUUGUCACGGAUGCCCCUUGCCUGCCCCCAAGCAAGGACAUCCCUCCUCCUCUGUCCCUCUCCCCUGUCCCCAAGCCCCGUCCCACCUUGAACCUCUGCAGGAUCCAGAUUCCCCCUCCAAGAAUAUCAGAACUAAGACCAGCUCAUCGCGCCAAUCCUCUUACAGUCUAAGCCAGCGCUGUCCCCGGUGGCGGCUGCUGGCCACGUGUGGCAGAUGGAGCACUUGAAAUGUGACAAGUCCAAACUGAGACCCACGCUUGACGUCAAAUACACACCAGCUUUAAGACUUGGUACAAAAGCAGAAUGCAAAAUAUCUCAAUAAUUUUUAUUUUGGUUGCAUGUUGAAAGGAUUAUACUUUAGAUAUGUAGUGUUAAAUAUAUUAUGACAAUAGUAUUAA
This is a long non-coding RNA of Sapajus apella (tufted capuchin), 2367 nucleotides long. RefSeq lists it as uncharacterized. The record is from RefSeq and is a predicted model, not a curated record. The transcript has 2 exons. NCBI's taxonomy places the organism in Eukaryota, Metazoa, Chordata, Mammalia, Primates, Cebidae.